This 460-nucleotide ribosomal RNA is filed under the name uncultured bacterium. RNAcentral describes it as "partial 16S ribosomal RNA". It matches the Rfam family "Bacterial small subunit ribosomal RNA", at positions 338 to 795 of the family's 1533-position model. The record is from RNAcentral.
CCUACGGGUGGCUGCAGUGAGGAAUAUUGGUCAAUGGGCGGAAGCCUGAACCAGCCAAGUAGCGUGCAGGAUGACGGCCCUACGGGUUGUAAACUGCUUUUAUACGGGAAUAACGCGCCUUACGUGUAGGGCUUUGCAUGUACCGUAUGAAUAAGGACCGGCUAAUUCCGUGCCAGCAGCCGCGGUAAUACGGAAGGUCUGGGCGUUAUCCGGAUUGAGUGGGUGGAAAGGGAGCGUAGGCGGCAUGUCAAGCGUCCUGUGAAAGGUCCGGGCGCAACCCGGGCCUUGCAGCGCGAACUGGCGUGCUUGAGUCCGCGGAAAGCAGGCGGAAUUCGUCGUGUAGCGGUGAAAUGCUUAGAUAUGACGAAGAACCCCGAUUGCGAAGGCAGCUUGCUGCAGCGGAACUGACGCUGAUGCUCGAAAGCGCGGGUAUCGAACAGGAUUAGAUACCCUAGUAGUC